GGGCACAUGACUCAAGUGGUAGAGCACUUGCCUGGCAAGUCUGAGGACUUGGGUUCAAAUCCCAAUAUUGCCA
RNAcentral lists this transfer RNA (73 nucleotides) under Dipodomys ordii (Ord's kangaroo rat). It matches the Rfam family "tRNA". Rfam says of the family: Transfer RNA (tRNA) molecules are approximately 80 nucleotides in length. The record is from Rfam by way of RNAcentral. Lineage: Eukaryota; Metazoa; Chordata; Mammalia; Rodentia; Heteromyidae.